UUGUUUUUUAACUUAAACCCAAUCGAAUAUAAUUGUUUUAUUGUAUGUUAAUAUUAUAGUUUAUUAGACUAAAUCUCACAUAAUAGCUGCUCCAUCCUCCUCUUUGUUAUAUAUUAGUGAGGCCAAAGCAAGUACUAACAUGGUUAUUCACUCAUUUGUAACUCUCUCUCUCUCUCUCUCUCUCUCUCUCUCUCUCUCUCUCUCUCUGCGACUUGAGAAGAUGUGCAAAGAGCACGACAGAGAAGCUCUCUCUCUCUCUCUUUCUCUCUCUCUCUCUCGGACAUGAGAAGGUGUGCGAAGAGCACGAUGGAGAAGCAGGGCACGUGCAUUACCGACUCAUACCGUACGUAUAUGGAGAGAACCAAGAAAUUGGGUGAACCAUGAGUCAUGAACCCUGAAGGCUGUUUAUAUCUUUGGCGGCUCCAUGUGUAGUGAACCAUGGGUGGGUUCUUCAUGUGCCCUUCUUCCCCAUCGUGACCAGGCCACCUCUAAAUUCAUCCAUGAAAGCUUCUCUUAGCAUUACCUCCGGCAUGCCUGGUAUUAUAUUGAACGAAUUGUUGAUUAACUAUGAGAUGUUCAAAGGAUUAAGCUAUCAAAAGCAGCGAAGGUUCUUAGACUGGAGAAGGUCUUCAAUUCUUUUUUUCUUGGGGGGGUUUGGAAUUAGGAUUUAUCAGUAGGAAAUCUCAAAAUGUUGCUGCCCUUUCUGUCUCUUGUACUCCAUUCUUCAAUGGAUUGGUGUAUUUUAUACAUCCUUUCUCAUAUAUAGAACCAGAAAGUAGCCAUUUUCAGCACUUGUAAUGCUCUCCUUGCUCACGGAAUAUUUAACUGAGCAAAACACUUAUUACAUUCUGCACUGGACCAAAAGAAUGAUUGCAUGAGAUUUUUCCUGUAGUGUCCACUUAGUACACCUUUUCUUCUCAGGUCUUAUUUUUAAUUUAUAUGAGUCUUAGUUUAUUUUAUUUUAUUUUAGUAUGAAUCCAUGGUUUUGGAUAGAUUGGACCGUGGCAAAUAAAGAGUAGUAUAUGCAGCACUUUCGUGCCAUAUACAGCGAAAAGAUGUGGGGGGCAGGGCAAUUCAGCGCUUGAAGCGGCCAUAACAUGCGUGUUCAAGCUUCAAGAAGUUGCUGAUACAUGUGUUGUUUGUUAUGGGCUUGCUUCGCCAAGAAAUGGUUUCUUAUCGUGAUAUCAGAGCACGAAUUCCUUUACAAUGUUUCUGUCUCCGGCUACUUUGUUCAUAUGGCUAUAUACCACGAUCUACACUUCCCGUGUAAAUCCCGUCUUAGGUACUGGAACAAAUGUUGCCAAGCAUGUAUACUUGAAAUACACGAUUCAUUUCUUUCCUUUCUUUAA
Long non-coding RNA from Syzygium oleosum, 1349 nucleotides. RefSeq lists it as uncharacterized. The record is from RefSeq and is a predicted model, not a curated record. Lineage: Eukaryota; Viridiplantae; Streptophyta; Magnoliopsida; Myrtales; Myrtaceae. The transcript is spliced from 2 exons.